RNAcentral lists this ribosomal RNA (859 nucleotides) under uncultured bacterium. RNAcentral's name for it is "bacterial SSU rRNA". It matches the Rfam family "Bacterial small subunit ribosomal RNA", at positions 8 to 861 of the family's 1533-position model. The record is from RNAcentral.
AGAGUUUGAUCCUGGCUCAGAUUGAACGCUGGCGGCAGGCUUAACACAUGCAAGUCGAGCGGGGAAAGGUAGCUUGCUACCUUACCUAGCGGCGGACGGGUGAGUAAUGCUUAGGAAUCUGCCUAUUAGUGGGGGACAACAUUUCGAAAGGAAUGCUAAUACCGCAUACGCCCUACGGGGGAAAGCAGGGGACCUUCGGGCCUUGCGCUAAUAGAUGAGCCUAAGUCGGAUUAGCUAGUUGGUGGGGUAAAGGCCUACCAAGGCGACGAUCUGUAGCGGGUCUGAGAGGAUGAUCCGCCACACUGGGACUGAGACACGGCCCAGACUCCUACGGGAGGCAGCAGUGGGGAAUAUUGGACAAUGGGGGGAACCCUGAUCCAGCCAUGCCGCGUGUGUGAAGAAGGCCUUUUGGUUGUAAAGCACUUUAAGCGAGGAGGAGGCUACUCUAGUUAAUACCUAGGGAUAGUGGACGUUACUCGCAGAAUAAGCACCGGCUAACUCUGUGCCAGCAGCCGCGGUAAUACAGAGGGUGCGAGCGUUAAUCGGAUUUACUGGGCGUAAAGCGUGCGUAGGCGGCUUUUUAAGUCGGAUGUGAAAUCCCUGAGCUUAACUUAGGAAUUGCAUUCGAUACUGGGAAGCUAGAGUAUGGGAGAGGAUGGUAGAAUUCCAGGUGUAGCGGUGAAAUGCGUAGAGAUCUGGAGGAAUACCGAUGGCGAAAGCAGCCAUCUGGCCUAAUACUGACGCUGAGGUACGAAAGCAUGGGGAGCAAACAGGAUUAGAUACCCUGGUAGUCCAUGCCGUAAACGAUGUCUACUAGCCGUUGGGGCCUUUGAGGCUUUAGUGGCGCAGCUAACGCGAU